UCAAGUAUGGCACGGACGCCGCCUGGUGGAUGGCUUGGCUCGGGCGCCGACGAAGGGCGCGGCAAGCGGCGAUAUGCCCCGGGUAGGCGCAUGCAGCCGUUGAUCCGGGGAUUCCCGAAUGGGACCUCCUGCUACGGGUUAAUAGCCCGUAGCGCUCGGGAAAGUAGCUGAUUCUCGUGAAGCUACGAGUACCGAGUGGGAACCCCCCGAACGGAAACAUCUUAGUAGGGGGAGGAAGAGAAACCAAUCGGGAUCCCCUUAGUAGGGGCGACCGAAAGGGGGAGAGUCCAAACCAAACCUCUCGACGAAGAGUCGAGAGGGAUGUGGUGUUAUUGGGGCUCGGUGACACCCCUAACCCGUGAAGGCGAAGUGGCCUGGAAAGGCCCGCCGUAGAGGGUGAUAGCCCCGUAGCCGUAAGCGGGUGGGGUCAUGAUCCGAGUUCCAGAGUACCACGGCUUGGUUUUGCCGUGGGAAGUUGGGAGGCACCGACUUCCAAGACUAAAUACGUCCCGAGACCGAUAGCGCACUAGUACCGUGAGGGAAAGCUGAAAAGCACCCCGAGAGGGGGGUGAAAAGAGCCUGAAACCAGGCGGCUACAGGAGGCUCGGCCGUUAAGGCCUCCUGCCAAAGGAAAGCUCCGGCGACGGGCGAGUACGAGGCGGGAGGAUCCGCGGUCGAGCCUUCCGUCUAGAAACACGGGCCGGGGAGUUUGCAACUGUGGCGAGUCUAAGGGGGCUAAACCCCGAAGGCGUAGGGAAACCGACUUGCCCGCAGCCAGUAUCCCUGCCUUGCAUGAAGAUGUGAUUCAAUGAACAUCUUCAUGCAAGGUAAAUACUGGCGAGGGGCGAGGUCCGUCGAGGGCCUGGAGCCACAGUUGCAAGACCAGAAACCGGGCGAUCUAGGCCUGGGCAGGGUGAAGCGGGGCGAAAGCCCCGUGGAGGCCCGCAAGGGUUCUGACGUGCAAAUCGUUCCCCUGACCUGGGCCUAGGGGCAAAAGACCAAUCUAGCCCGGUGAUAGCUGGUUCCCCCCGAAGUGGGUCGCAGCCCAGCCCGCCCGGAGGUGGCUGGCGGGGUAGGGCACUGAUUGGGGGACCAAGGGCCGAAAGGCCCAGUCUCCCUUUCAAACCCCGAAUCCGCCAGCGCCGUAGAUGGGCGGAGUCGGGUGUGGGGGGUAAGCUCCCACGCCGAAAGGGGAACAACCCAAACCGGGGUUAAGGCCCCUAAGUGCCGGCUAAGUGUUAACGGCAAAGGGCGUCCUCGGCCUGAGACAGCGGGGAGGUAGGCUUAGAAGCAGUUAACCUUUAAACAACGCGUAACAGCGGACCCGCCGAGGCCGAGGGCCCCGAAAAUUGACGGGGCUUAAGCCGGCCGCCGAGACCCCGGGGGACCCCUUGUGGGGGUCAUCCGGUAGGGGGGCGUCCCAAGUGGGCAGAAGCCGGGCCGUGAGGUCCGGUGGACCACUUGGGAUUGCUGAUCCCGGCGGUAGUAGCAGCCUAGCCGGGUGGGAAUCCCGGCCGCCGCAAGGGCCAGGGUUCCUCAGCAACGCGUCCUCGGCUGAGGGUUAGCCGGUCCUAAGGCGGGCCCUAAGUCGGUCCCGCCGAAAGGGAAGCCGGUUAAUAUUCCGGCGCCGUGGGGGUACGAUCGCGGCGACGCAAGCCCAGCCUCCGACGCUUCGGGAUAGGCCGAGCGGGGCCACCGCCCCGUCUAACCCCUGAAGCCUGGGGAGUGCCGUAAAGGCGAGAACCAGGCGAAGGGGGGAAUGGCCGCCCGUAUGGGUGGUUCGGCCGAUUCCCGGAGCCCAUGAAAAGGGGGCUGGGAAGGAUCCCCCACGACCGUACCGAGAACCGACACUGGUGCCCCUGGGUGAGUAGCCUAAGGCGUGUCGGGAUCACCCCGGGCCAGGGAACUCGGCAAGUUAGCCCCGUAACUUCGGGAGAAGGGGUGCCUGGGGCUCUGGGCGAAAGCCUGGGGCCCUAGGUCGCAGUGACAAGGGGGACCCGACUGUUUAAUAAAAACAUAGGUCCCCGCAAGCCCGAAAGGGUGUGUACGGGGGCUGAAUCCUGGCCACUGGCGGUCCGUGAAACCCGGGUUCAACCGGGCGAAGCGCCGCCGAAGGCCGGGAGUAACUCUGACUCUCUUAAGGUAGCCAAAUGCCUUGCCGGGUAAGUUCCGGCGCGCAUGAAUGGAUCAACGAGGUCCCCACUGUCCCGGCCCGGGGCCCGGCGAACCCACCUCCUGGUGCACAGUCCAGGGACCCCCGGUGGGGCGAGAAGACCCCGUGGAGCUUUACUGCAGCCUGUCGCUGGGGUACGGUUGCUGGUGCGUAGCGUAGCUGGGAGCCAGUGAAGCACCCUCUCUGGGGGGUGUAGAGGCGCCAAUGAAACACCAGCCACUGGCGACCGUACCUCUAACCGGGGCUUACGCCCCGGGACAACGGCAGGUGGGCAGUUCGGCUGGGGCGGCACGCCCUCGAAAGGAUAUCGAGGGCGCCCAAAGGUCGGCUCAGGCGGGUCAGAACCCCGCCGUAGAGGGCAAGGCCAAAAGCCGGCCUGACCAGACCCUUGAAAGCAAGGGGUCUGGCCGGGAAACCGCGGCCUAGCGAACGCUCGUGCCCCCUUCGGUGGGGGCCGGGCAUGACAGAAAAGUUACCCCGGGAGUAACCGGCUCGUCGCGGGCGAGAGCCCACAUCGACCCCGCGGAUUGGUACCCAGACGUCGUCUCUUCCCAUCCUGGGGGUGCAGCAAGGGGUGGAAGCAAGUUGAGUGUUGACAGGUUGAUCAUCAUUGCACCUUCUCAGAUCCUUAGAAACCUCAUUGCAUGAUCUGAGAUACCUGUACGCUAAACAUUGAAACGUUAAAGGCUUGAAUGUAAAGCCUACUAGUAAAGUCUCCUAACUUGAUCCUACUUAUCCAGGUGUAUAAUGGCUAUGUUCACUUCAUCGAUGGUUGAGCUUCCGCCCCCUGUAGGCCCCCAAGGGUGGGGCUGCCCGCCCAUUAAAGGGGAACGUGAGAUGGGUUUAGACCGUCGUGAGACAGGUCGGUCUCUACCUGCCGGGGGUGCUGGCCGCCUGAGGGGAAGGUGCCCUCAGUACGAGAGGAACGGGGCGCCGUGGCCUCUAGUUUACCGGUUGUCCGGUAGGGCAUCGCCGGGCAGCCACGCCAUAAGGGAUAAGGGCUGAAAGCAUCUAAGCCCGAAGCCCUCCCCGAGACGAGGCGGCCAUUCCCGCGUGGAGUCUAUAGCGGGCAACCGCUAUAGACCUGCGGGACGAGGGCUCCCGUAGAAGACGGGGUUGAUGGGGCGGGGGUGUAAGCACCGAGGCCGAAAGGCCGAGGUGUUAAGCCUGCCGCUCCCAAUCGCCCGAGGUCGUACUUGA
This 3373-nucleotide ribosomal RNA is filed under the name Candidatus Nezhaarchaeota archaeon. RNAcentral describes it as "23S ribosomal RNA". It matches the Rfam family "Archaeal large subunit ribosomal RNA". Lineage: Archaea; Thermoproteati; Candidatus Nezhaarchaeota. The record is from RNAcentral.